AUCUAAUGACAUGAUAUUUACUGCUUUCUCACUUAGUAUUCCAGAAUCCAUCUCAAAGUUCCAAAUCUAAGGGAACCUAUGCCUCUUACUGGAAAAAGGAAAGGGUAGCAGAAGUCCUUGCCUGAAUGCUCACAUUCAAUCAUUCUUGUAUUGUUAGUCUUUUCUCCUGUGGAUCAGCUCUAAGGAAGUUAACCUGUCAGACUUCCACAUGGACUUCCAUCUGGUAUCUAAGAUGGCAUGUCAUGUUUUCAUAUCUUUUUUGACUUCACAAUAGUCUGAAGGGCAUGUAACCCUUGAUUCUUUGCUCCUCAUUAUAAUUAUGAUAUUAAAUAGCUUUUCUAGUUUCUCUAAGAAUAAUAAUCAUAACUUUUCACAAUUUGUGAUUUGCUGUAAAGUUGGACUACUAGCAAAUUGAUAUUUGUGGAAAGAAAUAAUUUUAUCUUAUUACAAUGUUUUAAAUAAUUUACAUAUUCCUGGCGACAUAGCUUUUUGAAACUCAGAGCUGUAAACCUGAGUUGUCAUGGAUACAUACAUGCAGGAGCUUACUUCAUGAAUUUAUUAUAGAAUUGACUGUUAAUUUUUAGUAUGUAAUGUAGUUUAACCAAAAAUGCUGCUGUUGUAGUUGAGGUUUAUUGUCCUUUUCACUAAGGUUAUUUUAUUGUGUUGCUCCUUAAUUGUUUUUCUUUAAAAAUUUUUUUUUUCUCUGAAGACAUUUUAUUGCCAAAGGGCACAGUUUAAACUGUGUGUCAAAAUGACUGAUCAGCAGUUUGGGUUGACUUUUCCUACUUUUCCUUUCUCCUGCUGAUAUGUCAAGUAAAGUCUAUAUAUAACCCUCAAAAUAUUGGUGGAACCAGAUAUAAAUCAGGUUACCCAUGAGCAAAGAUAUAGAAAAAAAGAAUUGGGAAAGAUUGGUUUGUUUGUUUGAGUAGGCUAAGAAUGGGUAAGACUAAAAUUGCAGUGAUCAGAUAAACCUUUUUAAAAUAACUUGCUUGGAUAAAACAUACUGCUUCUGGGUACACAGGAUCAAACUGGAGUAAUAAGAAAUUUAAAAAUCAUGAACCUUAUGAAAUUUAAAACUCUGACUCAUUUUGUACUUGUAUUUUUUCUUUCCCACAAGGUUGGCCAUAAAGUAAAGGAGAUUUUGUUGAAGUAGAGAAAACAUAUAUUUGAGAAUUGACCAAUAUGAAAAGAAGUUUAAAAUAUAUUUUUAAAAGCCAAUUCUAUUAACUAAUAGAGCUGCUACUAGGACAAAGUUCUACCAGUGGAAAAAGACAAAACUGCUUUAAAGACUGUGUGCUAUUUAUAUAAAGUAACAUAAUCUGACAGUGCAUGAAAAAUGCAUCUUCACAUAAGCAGAAGAGACAUCUUUAGUAUGAAUUUCUAGACAAGCUUCUUUUUAUAAAUUAUCAGUGAAAAAAUAAAUCUGAAAAUGCUACCUUUGUUAAAGUUAAUGUGCUCAAAUUAGCUUGGUUGAUGGUUUUUGAUAAUCUGAUUUUAAUAUUAAAUUUAAACAUUAGAUUUGAUCUCUGAUUAAAUUACACAUAUAAAAUAUACAAAAUAAUGGAAAAGUCUUAGGAAGCACAGAGCCUUAAACAUUCAGUAUAUGCUUGUUAUAGCUGCUACUGAUAGAUGAAUUUUCAAACAUCAUGGCUCACCAAGUUUUUGGUGUUAAGAAUCAGACAGUGACAUUAAAAUGUCAGCAUAACCUGUUCCACUGUUUAGAUGUAUAAAUAAUUUGAGUCACAGACAGGGAUGGCUAUUUGGCAAAAGCAACAAUAGUAAUUUCUGUAUGUUCUGUAUUCUUUGUUUCCUCAGAGAAAUGAGAUAAGAGACAACUUGGUUAGUGCUAAAUUUUUACAGAAGAACCACACCCUUAUCCAACAACAUUGAUCAAAUAAACACAGCUGGACUACUAGGGUAGAGAUAGAAAGAACUUGAGCUUAGUGGAGAUAGGCAUGCAAAUGUGAUUAUUCACAUAAGAAAAGUAUGUGUUAUGAUAGAGCUUGGGCAUCAGGAAGCUGUGCACAGAUGAUGUAAUAUUUGAGCUAGUUCAGAAGUGGUCAUGGGUGUGCCAGGUAGGUUGGGAGAGGAGCACAGGCAGGGGUGGUGUAGCAGACACCACCUCUUUCCUUCUAGCUCAUUUCAGUGUACAUUGUCCAUAUCUGUAUCUCUUUGCUCAAGACCUUCUUCUGACUGCUGGAGCCCUUCAUGGUGGUCUGGAAGUGGCCAUGAAGGGCACCCUCCAUCCCCUCUCAGUAGCUCUUCUCUACCAGUGACAGGAAGGCAUUGACAUACAAGUGCUCUGGCUACCUUAGCCUAUGGAUAGGAUAAGUCCUACUUUGAAAAACAAUAGAAUCAGAGUCAAAGGUCAAAGGGCAGAGUUAUAUCCAUCCCUAGAUUAAAAACUAAUAUUCACUGUUUGUUAUAAUGAUUUUGAACAUUAAAAUCCACCUGAUGUAUGAUUUUUGGUAUUAUUUGUGUUUAUAUUAAAUAGUCACGAUAUUUGUGGAGUUCCCAUCGUGGUGCAGCAGAAGCAAAUCUGACUAGUAACCAUGAGGUUGCGAGUUCGAUCCUUGGCCUUGCUCAGUGGGUUAAGGAUCUGGCAUUGCCUUGAGCUGUGACGUAGGUCACAGACGUGGCUUGAAUCUGGCAUUGCUGUGGCUGUCGCUUAGGCAGGCAGUUGUAGCUCUGAUUCUACCACUAGCCUGGGAACCUCCAUAUGCCAU
This 2726-nucleotide long non-coding RNA is filed under the name Sus scrofa (pig). Its description in RNAcentral is "lncRNA (ENSSSCG00065047016.1)". Lineage: Eukaryota; Metazoa; Chordata; Mammalia; Artiodactyla; Suidae. The record is from RNAcentral.